CCUACGGGAGGCAGCAGUGGGGAAUAUUGGGCAAUGGAGGAAACUCUGACCCAGCAACGCCGCGUGAGUGAUGAAGGUCUUCGGAUUGUAAAGCUCUUUUCUUAGGGAAGAAGAAAGUGACGGUACCUUAGGAAUAAGCCUCGGCUAACUACGUGCCAGCAGCCGCGGUAGUACGUAGGAGGCGAGCGUUAUCCGGAAUGACUGGGCGUAAAGGGUGCGUAGGUGGGUUGGCAAGUCAGUGGCGAAACUCCAGGGCUAAACCUUGGAACUGCUACUAAAACUGUUGGACUGGAGUGCAGGAGGGGCAACCGGAAUUCCUAGUGUAGCAGUGGAAUGCGUAGAUAUUAGGAGGAACACCAGUGGCGAAGGCGGGUUGCUGGACUGUAACUGACGCUGAGGCACGAAAGCGUGGGGAGCAAACAGGAUUAGAUACCCGUGUAGUC
This 443-nucleotide ribosomal RNA is filed under the name uncultured bacterium. RNAcentral's name for it is "partial 16S ribosomal RNA". It matches the Rfam family "Bacterial small subunit ribosomal RNA", at positions 338 to 795 of the family's 1533-position model. The record is from RNAcentral.